Molecule: ribosomal RNA, 253 nt
Filed under: uncultured prokaryote
Description: partial 16S ribosomal RNA
Rfam family: Bacterial small subunit ribosomal RNA
Source: RNAcentral
UACGUAGGUGGCAAGCGUUGUCCGGAUUUACUGGGUGUAAAGGGCGCGUAGGCGGGUAGGCAAGUCAGAUGUGAAAUACCGAGGCUUAACUUCGGAACUGCAUCUGAAACUGUUUAUCUUGAGUACUGGAGAGGAAAGUGGAAUUCCUAGUGUAGCGGUGAAAUGCGUAGAUAUUAGGAGGAACACCGGUGGCGAAGGCGGCUUUCUGGACAGUAACUGACGCUGAGGCGCGAAAGCGUGGGGAGCAAACAGG